AAAAUGGCAGAAUGAAAGAAUUAUGAGUGGGACUAGAGAAUAGGAAAAACAUGAACCAACAACUGAAAUGAGAAAGGAGGAGAUAUAAAAAGACACACACGUUAAAAAAAAAAUAGACUAAUGGAUUAAUGUCUCUGUUGUGUGACAUCUGUGA
This 154-nucleotide long non-coding RNA is filed under the name Saimiri boliviensis boliviensis (Bolivian squirrel monkey). RNAcentral describes it as "TTC28 antisense RNA 1 conserved region 2 (ENSSBOG00000000963.1)". It matches the Rfam family "TTC28 antisense RNA 1 conserved region 2". Lineage: Eukaryota; Metazoa; Chordata; Mammalia; Primates; Cebidae. The record is from RNAcentral.